GUUUUUUAAUUUAAAAAUGUGGAAACGCCUUGCUCCAUCCCGAACCAAGAAGCUAAGCACAUCGUGGGUGAUGAUACUACGCCUUACUGGCAGGGGGAAAGUAGCUCAUUGCGGACU
RNAcentral lists this ribosomal RNA (117 nucleotides) under Campylobacter jejuni. Lineage: Bacteria; Pseudomonadati; Campylobacterota; Epsilonproteobacteria; Campylobacterales; Campylobacteraceae. The record is from RNAcentral.